This is a non-coding RNA of Xylariomycetidae sp. FL0641, 87 nucleotides long. Lineage: Eukaryota; Fungi; Ascomycota; Sordariomycetes. The record is from the annotation of a GenBank genome assembly.
UCCCCUAUGGCGUAGUGGUAGCGCGUCGCACUUGUAUACUUUACAGGCGAAAUGCGAAGGUCUCUCGUUCGAUCCGGGAUGGGGGAA